Molecule: ribosomal RNA, 731 nt
Filed under: uncultured bacterium
Lineage: Bacteria
Description: bacterial SSU rRNA
Rfam family: Bacterial small subunit ribosomal RNA
Source: RNAcentral
AACAGGAUUAGAUACCCUGGUAGUCCACGCCGUAAACGAUGUCUACUAGCUGUUCGUGGUCUUGUACCGUGAGUAGCGCAGCUAACGCACUAAGUAGACCGCCUGGGGAGUACGGUCGCAAGAUUAAAACUCAAAUGAAUUGACGGGGGCCCGCACAAGCGGUGGAGCAUGUGGUUUAAUUCGACGCAACGCGAAGAACCUUACCUACUCUUGACAUCUACGGAAGAUUGCAGAGAUGCGAUUGUGCCUUCGGGAACCGUAAGACAGGUGCUGCAUGGCUGUCGUCAGCUCGUGUUGUGAAAUGUUGGGUUAAGUCCCGCAACGAGCGCAACCCUUAUCCUUAGUUGCCAGCACGUAAUGGUGGGAACUCUAGGGAGACUGCCGGUGAUAAACCGGAGGAAGGUGGGGACGACGUCAAGUCAUCAUGGCCCUUACGAGUAGGGCUACACACGUGCUACAAUGGUAUGUACAGAGGGAGGCAAGCUGGCGACAGUGAGCGGAUCUCAUAAAGCAUAUCGUAGUCCGGAUUGGAGUCUGCAACUCGACUCCAUGAAGUCGGAAUCGCUAGUAAUCGUGAAUCAGAAUGUCACGGUGAAUACGUUCCCGGGCCUUGUACACACCGCCCGUCACACCAUGGGAGUGGGUUGCAAAAGAAGUAGGUAGCUUAACCUUCUGGAGGGCGCUUACCACUUUGUGAUUCAUGACUGGGGUGAAGUCGUAACAAGGUAACC